AGAGUUUGAUCCUGGCUCAGAUUGAACGCUGGCGGCAUGCCUUACACAUGCAAGUCGAACGGCAGCGGGAGCAAUCCUGGGCGAGUGGCGAACGGGUGAGUAAUACAUCGGAACGUGCCCAAUCGUGGGGGAUAACGCAGCGAAAGCUGUGCUAAUACCGCAUACGAUCUACGGAUGAAAGCAGAUCGUUGCGCGAAUGGAGCGGCCGAUGGCAGAUUAGGUAGUUGGUGAGGUAAAGGCUCACCAAGCCUUCGAUCUGUAGCUGGUCUGAGAGGACGACCAGCCACACUGGGACUGAGACACGGCCCACACUCCUACCGGAGGCAGCAGUGGGGAAUUUUGGACAAUGGGCGCAAGCCUGAUCCAGCCAUGCCGCGUGCAGGAUGAAAGCCUUCCGGUUGUAAACUGCUUUUGUACGGAACGAAACGGCCUUUUUUAUAGAGGGCUAUGACGGUACCGUAAGAAUAAGCACCGGCUAACUACGUGCCAGCAGCCGCGGUAAUACGUAUGGUGCAAGCGUUAAUCGGAAUUACUGGGCGUAAAGCGUGCGCAGG
This 554-nucleotide ribosomal RNA is filed under the name uncultured Comamonadaceae bacterium. Its description in RNAcentral is "bacterial SSU rRNA". It matches the Rfam family "Bacterial small subunit ribosomal RNA", at positions 8 to 575 of the family's 1533-position model. Lineage: Bacteria; Pseudomonadati; Pseudomonadota; Betaproteobacteria; Burkholderiales; Comamonadaceae. The record is from RNAcentral.